AAUAAAAAUAAAAUCAAACAAAAUCCAAUACCUUCCACCUCAAGCUUUCACGUCGGGUUCAUUACUUAUGUCGUAUUACGUGCUUUCCUGCUCGAGAAUGCAUCGGACGUUUGGCUGUAGAAAGUAGUAUAGAGAUUUGCUAAUAUUCAAGCAGUGUAUCGAUUUUUGACUGUUGGAAUAUAAACGAUAGCAAGAAUAUAUCAUAAAUCUAUAUGGUUGUCCUUCGACUAGUUGCCAAAAUCCUUUUUGCCAAAAUCCUUUUUGCCCCAGCCGGUAGGUCUCUAGAUGUUACAGAGAACCGCGAACAACCCAAUCUGCUAAUCUCCGAUACCGCUUUAUACUCACGACCUUGUAUCCACUGACUGUCUUGUUAGAUUAACCCAAAAAAUUUUAUUCACUCCGCAUACUCAAUCCUAUAGACACCCUUUUAAUUCUUCAAUCACAGAUGUAACUUCAAUUUCACAAAACAAUCAAGAGUAAUCACACCCACUUCAUUA
Molecule: long non-coding RNA, 497 nt
Filed under: Physcomitrium patens
Lineage: Eukaryota; Viridiplantae; Streptophyta; Bryopsida; Funariales; Funariaceae
Description: long non-coding RNA (PPAT_LNC006645)
Source: RNAcentral